UACAGGGGGUGCAAGCGUUGCUCGGAAUCACUGGGCGUAAAGCGAACGCAGGCGGACCAUCAAGUCAGGGGUGAAAGCCCGAGGCUCAACCUGGGAACUGCAUUUGUGACUGCAUGGCUAGAGUACGGUAGAGGGGGAUGGAAUUCCGCGUGUAGCAGUGAAAUGCGUAGAUAUGCGGAGGAACACCGAUGGCGAAGGCAAUCCCCUGGACCUGUACUGACGCUCAUGCACGAAAGCGUGGGGAGCAAACAGG
This 253-nucleotide ribosomal RNA is filed under the name uncultured bacterium. RNAcentral's name for it is "partial 16S ribosomal RNA". It matches the Rfam family "Bacterial small subunit ribosomal RNA", at positions 524 to 776 of the family's 1533-position model. The record is from RNAcentral.